Molecule: transfer RNA, 89 nt
Filed under: Streptosporangiales bacterium
Lineage: Bacteria; Bacillati; Actinomycetota; Actinomycetes; Streptosporangiales
Description: tRNA-Ser
Rfam family: tRNA
About the family: Transfer RNA (tRNA) molecules are approximately 80 nucleotides in length. Their secondary structure includes four short double-helical elements and three loops (D, anti-codon, and T loops).
Source: RNAcentral
GGAGGGCUCGCAUAGUGGCCUAGUGCGGCGGUCUUGAAAACCGCUAUGAGGGGUGACUCUCAUCGUGGGUUCGAAUCCCACGCCCUCCG